UACGAAGGGGGCUAGCGUUGCUCGGAAUCACUGGGCGUAAAGGGUGCGUAGGCGGGUCUUUAAGUCAGAGGUGAAAUCCUGGAGCUCAACUCCAGAACUGCCUUCGAUACUGAGAGUCUCGAGUCCGGGAGAGGUGAGUGGAACUGCGAGUGUAGAGGUGAAAUUCGUAGAUAUUCGCAAGAACACCAGUGGCGAAGGCGGCUCACUGGCCCGGUACUGACGCUGAGGUGCGAAAGCGUGGGGAGCAAACAGG
This 253-nucleotide ribosomal RNA is filed under the name uncultured bacterium. RNAcentral's name for it is "partial 16S ribosomal RNA". It matches the Rfam family "Bacterial small subunit ribosomal RNA", at positions 524 to 776 of the family's 1533-position model. The record is from RNAcentral.